UUUGAUUUCAACUAUUUUCUCAAGAAUUUAAAAUAGAACAGAAGAUUGUAUUGUCGUGGUGCGACAUUCUGGUCUGUUUGUGGCUUUGUGUUUGUUUAUCUUUUGCUUAGUUGUUCUAUUUUGGUUUUUGUAUCAUGUUUGUUUAGUCCUCUUGUCUUCCUUGUAUUCUUGGGUUUUAAUUCUCAUUUAGUAUCUUUGUGUUUAAUUAUGGUUUGGUAUUGGUUCACCUUGCACUCUUCUUGUUUAAUAGUUUGUUCUCUGUUCCUCCUCGUCUUGGUUCCCUUUCUGUGUUUUAUUUUAUUCUGUGUUAGUUUCUAUAGUCCUAGUUCUCCCUCCUGUUAAGUCAGCCUUAGUUAUUCUUUACAUCUUAGUUUGUAUUUAUUUUAGUCCUCUCUUCCUCUGCUUCAUUCCCUGUUUGGGUCAGUCAGUGUUAAGUUUUGUUCACGUUUGUACUUUGGAUUUCUUUAUGGUUUCUUUGGAUAGAUCUUAGGUGUCACGGCCUUUCUGUUUCCAAGCCAAAAUAGUUCCAAAAAAAGGCCGUCGGUGGCAACAGGUGGUCUAGUUUCUUGAACGCACUUCCGACUUUAUUGUUUGAAACAUAUCCUUUUAUUUCUUGCAAAAUUAUAGGCAAAAUAAUAACCAAAAAAUUCUUACAACUUUGAUGUAAACAAAAAUUGGCUUAAACAGAUCUUACAAGGACAAAAAGUGGUCGAAAAGUGGUCAAAAAAUAAUUGUAAAAAACCUCCCGUCAUCACACCGGACAUUCUGAUUCAACAAGCGCCGCACAGUGUGUUCUUAAUGUCUUAAAUUACUGGGAGGGGCUUAAAAGUUACCAAAGAAAUCAUAAUAAUUCCAAACAAUUAAUUUCAUAUCAUCGUUCCAAACAAACUGAAAUAUAUUCUAACAACCUAUAAGUAAAUAGAACUUAUGAUUUACAAAAUUGAACAUAAAUGGCCACAACAUUAGGUUAUGUUGUUCUUUUGUUCCCUCUAGUUUCUCUGUUUACUUUAGUUAAUCAUUAUUCUAGGUUUUUAUGUUUCUUUGGUUAUUUAUAGUUUCAUUUAGAUCUGGUUCCCUGAUUCUUGUUUAUUCAGUCCUUUACUUAGAGUUUUGUUUUGUUAUGUUUUCCCCUGGAUUUAUGUUUAUGUCUAGUUCCUCCCGUGUUCCCUUUAUUUCUAGUUUGUUCUCCAUAGCAACUAUUCAUAGCCUCAGUUCUCUACUGCCUGGUCCACACCUGAUCUCUAUCGCUCCUGAUUACCUGCCUUGGUGUCUCAUUGGUUCUUACCUCACUCCACUCUAUUUAUUAGCUCCCUGGUUCUCUUUGUUCUUCGCUGGUUCCUCCAUCUUGUCACCCUCGCUCAUGUCUGUUCCGUCCACGACAGUACCAAUGCCUAAGUUUUGUGCUACGUUCCUGCAGUGACUCCAUUAGAUACGGGAUGCAGCUGUGGGACAAUACCUGUCUAAAUAUGGGCUGCGAGCAUCUGUUCCGCUUCUUUGUCCUUGGAUACACAGUGACGCAUAAUAUGCAUAAAUAAACACAUACUCUGAGUCAAUAUUGGAUCAUCUGUACUGUUCCUGUUCCUGUUGCCCCAGCUCUGAGACAGAGCACCCCCAUCAGCUAAGACUAAUGAUAAAUCAAGGAAACAAGAAGAAUAUAUGGGAACCCAUGUUGCAAACAUUUAUUAAGCUUGAAUCUUACCUUUGUACAUAGCAGAGUUCUGUGCUUGGUUAGGCAAAAAUGCUUGAUUUUGACAAUAUCACCAAGUACAAGCAGAUGUAGUAAGAAAAAAUUA
Molecule: long non-coding RNA, 1793 nt
Organism: Girardinichthys multiradiatus
Lineage: Eukaryota; Metazoa; Chordata; Actinopteri; Cyprinodontiformes; Goodeidae
Exons: 3
Source: RefSeq, a predicted model, not a curated record